Molecule: long non-coding RNA, 1572 nt
Organism: Eriocheir sinensis (Chinese mitten crab)
Lineage: Eukaryota; Metazoa; Arthropoda; Malacostraca; Decapoda; Varunidae
Exons: 7
Source: RefSeq, a predicted model, not a curated record
CGUUUUGGGGGCUUCCUCUGUUGCUGUGUCCUCAGCUGCCUCUGCACAUCAAUAGACAUCAUAAAAAGACAAAACAUCAUAGCGUACAUCAACCUUUAUUAUCUUCCAACCACCAGUAGAGAAUAAACAGUACAAAUAUCGUCACCUGUAAAGCCUGAGUUACCGAGAAUAGUCUACCCAACAAAAAGAAAACGAGCGCUGGUCCUUCCUCUCACAUGCGCCGACCCACCCCCUCCCCAACCACCGGCCGUCUGCGCCUGCGCGUGCCUCACCAGAGUGUGUUCAGCCUUCAUCGAGAGUGGACUUCGUGACGGCCGGCGUGGCACAGGACUUCUACCGUGGCCAGUGAUCAAGAAACGAGACGAGAAGAGAGAAGGGAAAGGGUCUAAGGGAAGGAUGAUGAUGAUGGUGAUGCUGGUCCCUGGUGAAAGGCGGCUAACAGGACAGGUGAGGGGAGCGUCGAAGGGACCCUGACACCUGUACGCCAACUCCACACGACUGUCGACCCACCUGUCACGUCACCUGCCCCGGAGAUCAAGCGCCCCGUCCCAGGCUCCCUCAGUACCCCGCCCUGGAAGACACAAGCAUGGGACUGUCUCGCGGGGGCUGUUCCGAGUGACUUAAGCCGACGUAAGCGUGCGAGGAAACGGCCAUCGGGAAUUUAAUUUGAGCGGCAGUCUGGAUCAUUAGGCGGGCGGCGGCGGUGCUCAUGGGACCCUUAUGACAACAGGCGGCAGCUGCGUCCUCUGCGGCUUCGUUUCUGCUCAUCAGUGACAGACAACCUCCAGGAAAGAGAGAGAGGAGCCCAGCCAAUCAAGAGCCCUGACAAACGAGGAUAAGGAGGAGGAGGAAGAGAAGAAACUGUAUGAAAAUGAUGAGAAAGAUGAGAAAAAAUUGCAAGAGAAUGAAGAGGAGACAACGACACCCAGGCCCCAAAGACACACGGUUUGAACAGACAACAGCCAUACACGAGGAUUUGCGCCCAGACUCCUUGAAUUCGUUGGGUACCACCAGUGUGCUCCAUCCUGUCUGCUUGGCAAGAGAAGAGGCAGCGAGGAGGUCAGGACACCGCAGAGACCAAGGAUAAGAGAUGCAAGUAUAACGGACAGUGCAGUGACGCGCAGACGCACGGUUAACCUACACUGGCAUCCCCACCCACCCACCUGUACUGUCCUGGAGGGAAAGACUUCCUGCACAUGUUGCUGCUGCUGGUCAGUCUUCAGGACGUGCCUAUGAGAUGAUGAUGCUUGUAAACUUUCUCUGCCUACCAUAUGAUGAAGACCCAAUAAAUUAAUUAAUGGUCCAAUGAUUUGUUUUCUUUCUAUAUCACGCACUUACAGUUUCUCUCCGGAGACUCUUUGAAGUAUCAUUGAGAGUAUUAAGUAACAGAUCCAGCUGUUCUUCCUGCAUAUUAUUUACCAAAUUUGAUUGUGGACCUCAAGGCUGUAAUGGUCACCUGCCUUGCCGUCACUGCCACCCCCCAGCAAUGAUGUCUAUCGCCUGCUACAGUUCAGUUCACCGCUGGCUGGUCUCUGGCAAUGACGCUCUUCCCUGGAGCUCCUUUGUAUCCUG